GUCAUUGGUAACACGACAUAAUGAAAUAAUUAUAUUAUCGGGUAAUUAUCAUUUGAUAAUUGGUUGUAAUUUACACUAAUUUGACAGAGGAGUUAAAUUAGUCUAACUUUAUUAUUGUCAAACUUAGUAUGUAACAGUUUAAGUCAUAGACACAUCAUAUUAAUGCAUAUAUUAAUUAUUAUACAUGCAUAGUAAUAAUUAAAAUUUGCUAAAUAUUUGCAAAUUUUCCAUGUAGGAACAUUCAUGUAUGUAUUGUCGGAAUUGACAAAGUAAUUUAUGGAUGUUGUAUAUUACAACUUCAAUUAUAUGGCAUAAACAAAUUAAUCAUAUAAAGGGUCAUGUAUACAGGUUUCAUUCACGCGGCACAGUCAAACAUUAAAAUAUCGCAUUCAGAUAUAGAGCUCUAUUAUUACAUUCAUAAUUAAGUACAUGUAUUUUAUAUUUACAGUGAAUAGAGAGCUUGGUGUAUUGGUUAGUUGGUCACCUGGAGAAGCGGUUAUUACCAACUGCUCAUCUAAACAGAAGUAUACUUCAUUACAUCCUCAGCCUAAAAUACACUCCUUACAGUGGGACACUGCACAAUCAUGGCUGGUUUGUCAUAUUACGGGAAAAAGGACCACUCUGAUGUGCAAGCAGAGGAACGAUGGUGUCCACCUGAAGUCAAUAUUUUUGAACAACAGGGAGCGGGUUAAAGUGUCCACCAGAUGAACAGACAGUUGAGUAAACAGCUGUUCAAAUGGGAGCAGGAAGGGGGUCCACCUGAAACUCAUCAAUGUAAAGGGUUGAUUUGUAACAAGGAGCGGUGUAUUUGGAAUUCCAUGUCUUCAUUUUUGUUGAUAGUCAUCAGCUGGAUUGGUAAGAAUAGGUUGGCCAGACAAGAAUGCAGUCAGCAAUGGGCAUUCAAAUAAGGCUAUAAUCAUGCAUCCAACCAACAAGUAAACUUGUUUGAUUGAAUGGUCAGCACCUUGGAAGAUCAAAAAUCUGGAUCAGCAAAUGAAAUGAACUUUGAUACAUAAAUAAUAAAAUGUUCUGUCUCUUGGUCUCCUGGUUAUUUCCCUGUAAUGGUAAAGCAGACAACUGAUUAAUGGUUGAUGAUGGAUCAAUCUGGAAAAUUAUAUAAAUCUCAUAAAAUCAUUGGAAUCCCACUUCUGACACCAGUUGAAACGUACCCGGGGUCUGCUAGCCCGGACACACUUCAAUAUCGACACGUGGGUUCUUCUCAAACACACGUAAAUGGAUAAAGGAAAUUAGGGACACAAGGACUAAAAGAUACGGACGCCUGAAAUAAGAUUAACACAACAAUUUAUUAAAUAUACAUUUCACAAACAAUAAAAUUCGUAUAUAGUAUAUUCUGUGGAUGGCUCUGGCUUGGGCUCCUCGUCUUAGGUCAAGAAUAUUCUUCUGUUACGUCUAGAAUAAUGUAUAAUAUAAGAUGUAAUGUAAGGCUUGACAAAUACGGUGUCACGUCUUGCCUGUGGUCUGGUACAAAUUCUAUGGUAGGAAUUACCAUGAAAUGCUAUAAGGUUAAUGGGGUAUCUAAAAUGGUAACUACAAUAUACAGUGGUGUUCUACCCUGGUAUAUGGGUAUCACUAUAAAAUAUGGGAUUAUGGCUAUGGAAACUUGGUCUUUAGUCAGGAUCUAUCAUAAAUGGAGAAUAAUGCCAAACUGCCAAACUAGAUGAUAAAAUAUAAAGCUUCUAUAUAAACUAUUACUGGCAUGAAGUAUUAUAUACCUUUCUGGUGUCUGGAGAUACAUCCAUAUUCAAUAUAGUAUAGAUGUGGUCUGGUGGCUAUCUACCAAGGUACUGACAAUUUUGGCAGAUUCGGGCUGCUAUUUAUAGUCUCGGACGCUGGGUGGCUAGCUUGGCUAGGGUGCCUAGCUUGGCAGUAUCGUCAUCGUCUCCGAUGACGUCACUGCCUGGCUCGCGCGGGCAGAAAUUUAGCCAGUGCCAGUUGCCAUGUUUAAAUUGGCAGCGUGUAGCUAAUUGAUCAUUAAAACGGCUACAACGUAGAAAAUAAGUUAUUUUAAGUAAUAUAACCAUCGUAAAUAUUAAAAGGAUGAAGUUAUCUGUACAUGCAGUGUAUGUUUUGAGGAUUAAAAGUUGAUGUCAUGAAAUACAGUUAAUUACUUUAGUACUUGAGUAGUUUCCGGAUACGGGUUUAUUUUCGGACGUAAAAUG
Molecule: long non-coding RNA, 2180 nt
Organism: Ruditapes philippinarum (Manila clam)
Lineage: Eukaryota; Metazoa; Mollusca; Bivalvia; Venerida; Veneridae
Exons: 3
Source: RefSeq, a predicted model, not a curated record